This 82-nucleotide ribosomal RNA is filed under the name Laportea bulbifera. RNAcentral's name for it is "partial 28S ribosomal RNA". The stretch from base 28 to 82 matches the Rfam family "Eukaryotic large subunit ribosomal RNA", at positions 1 to 55 of the family's 3401-position model. Lineage: Eukaryota; Viridiplantae; Streptophyta; Magnoliopsida; Rosales; Urticaceae. The record is from RNAcentral.
CUUUGCGAAAGGCGUAAGCUUCCAACGCGACCCCAGGUCAGGCGGGAUUACCCGCUGAAUUUAAGCAUAUCAAUAAGCGGAG